AGUCAUUGUAGCAAUACAAGGCAGACGGCUCAGUAACGCGUAGUCAAUCUACCCUAUGGACGGGAAUAACCUCGGGAAACUGAGAAUAAUGCCCGAUAGAACAUUAUGCCUGGAAUGGUUUAUGUUUCAAAUGAUUUAUCGCCAUAGGAUGGGACUGCGGCCUAUCAGUUUGUUGGUGAGGUAAUGGCCCACCAAGACUAUUACAGGUACGGGCUCUGAGAGGAGUGGCCCGGAGAUGGGUACUGAGACACGGACCCAGGCCCUAUGGGGCGCAGCAGGCGAGAAAACUUUGCAAUGUGCGAAAGCACGACAAGGUUAAUCCGAGUGGUUUCUGCUAAAGAAACCUUUUGUCAGUCCUAGAAACACUAACGAAUAAGGGGUGGGCAAGUUCUGGUGUCAGCCGCCGCGGUAAAACCAGCACCUCAAGUGGUCAGGAUGAUUAUUGGGCCUAAAGCAUCCGUAGCUCGUUUUGUAAGUUUUCGGUUAAAUCCAUACGCUUAACGUAUGGGCUGCCGGGAAUACUGCAUAACUAGGAAGUGGGAGAGGUAGACGGUACUCGGUAGGAAGGGGUAAAAUCCUUUGAUCUAUUGAUGACCACCUGUGGCNAANGC
Molecule: ribosomal RNA, 611 nt
Filed under: uncultured archaeon
Lineage: Archaea
Description: bacterial SSU rRNA
Rfam family: Archaeal small subunit ribosomal RNA
Source: RNAcentral